AGACGGAGGGUGCUAGCGUUGUUCGGAAUUACUGGGCGUAAAGCGCGCGUAGGCGGUUUAUCCAGUCAGGCGUGAAAGCCCUGGGCUCAACCCAGGAACUGCGUUUGAUACUGAUUGACUAGAGGCCGGGAGAGGGUAGUGGAAUUCCCAGUGUAGAGGUGAAAUUCGUAGAUAUUGGGAAGACCACCAGUGGCGAAGGCGGCUAUCUGGACCGGUACUGACGCUGAGGUGCGAAAGCGUGGGGAGCAAACAGGAUUAGAAACCCCAGUAGUCC
This 274-nucleotide ribosomal RNA is filed under the name uncultured bacterium. Its description in RNAcentral is "partial 16S ribosomal RNA". It matches the Rfam family "Bacterial small subunit ribosomal RNA", at positions 523 to 796 of the family's 1533-position model. The record is from RNAcentral.